This 486-nucleotide ribosomal RNA is filed under the name uncultured bacterium. Its description in RNAcentral is "partial 16S ribosomal RNA". It matches the Rfam family "Bacterial small subunit ribosomal RNA", at positions 28 to 507 of the family's 1533-position model. The record is from RNAcentral.
GACGAACGCUGGCGGCGUGCUUAACACAUGCAAGUCGAACGCUGAAGACCUGGCUUUUGUUGGGUUGGAUGAGUGGCGAACGGGUGAGUAACACGUGAGUAACCUGCCCUCUUCUUUGGGAUAACGCCCGGAAACGGGUGCUAAUACUGGAUAUUCACUGGCCUUCGCAUGGGGGUUGGUGGAAAGGUUUGUUCUGGUGGGGGAUGGGCUCGCGGCCUAUCAGCUUGUUGGUGGGGUGAUGGCCUACCAAGGCUUUGACGGGUAGCCGGCCUGAGAGGGUGACCGGUCACAUUGGGACGGAGAUACGGCCCAGACUCCUACGGGAGGCAGCAGUGGGGAAUAUAGCACAAUGGGCGAAAGCCUGAUGCAGCGACGCCGCGUGAGGGAUGGAGGCCUUCGGGUUGUAAACCUCUUUCGCUCAUGGUCAAGCCGCAACUGUGGGUUGUGGUGAGGGUAGUGGGUAAAGAAGCGCCGGCUAACUACGUG